Prunus avium (sweet cherry) is the source of this 550-nucleotide non-coding RNA. The record is from RefSeq and is a predicted model, not a curated record. NCBI's taxonomy places the organism in Eukaryota, Viridiplantae, Streptophyta, Magnoliopsida, Rosales, Rosaceae.
CACUGAGCUGAAGAAAGGAAGUAAGAAGAAAGAGACUCAAAGUUGAAGGCUUCAAUGGCGUGCCUUGUGUCCAUGACCCUCUCUGUACCUCUCUCAGCUUCACUUUGGUUCACAAAGGAAAUACCUCCGAGAAAAUCAGUUUUUGUUGGACUUUCAAGCCAACCAACUUCAGGAACAGAACCUCUCAAGGUUCGAAAUCGUAUGUCAGGUUGGGGUGUUCCAACACGAGUCCAGUGUGAAGGGUAACUUCAGCCCAAGUUUGCUGAUUUUUGAGGAAGUUAGAAUCUCUUCAAGCUGCAAAGCCUUCUGCCUCCUGCAGGACAAAUACAGGCAUAUCGUCUUUGAAUUGGAGUUGUCAAGAUCAUCUUUUAACCCCCUCAAAACCUCAUUUUGAAAGAAUGUAUUGUUGUAUCAAUGUAGAUUCUUGUAGCUACAUGAUCAUAUCUGGUUAUUGGGUAGGACCUGAUAUUGAUGAUGGUUGGGGAUAUGUGGAAGCUUUUGUUAAUCCAAUUACUUGAGCAUUUUUCUCCAUUCCAUUAGUUUUUUUUUU